UACGUAGGGCGCAAGCGUUGUCCGGAAUCAUUGGGCGUAAAGAGCUCGUAGGCGGCCUGUCGCGUCUGCUGUGAAAUCCCGGGGCUUAACCCCGGGCGUGCAGUGGAUACGGGCUGGCUGGAGGCAGGCAGGGGAGAACGGAAUUCCCGGUGUAGCGGUGAAAUGCGCAGAUAUCGGGAGGAACACCGGUGGCGAAGGCGGUUCUCUGGGCCUGUACUGACGCUGAGGAGCGAAAGCGUGGGGAGCGAACAGG
RNAcentral lists this ribosomal RNA (253 nucleotides) under uncultured bacterium. Its description in RNAcentral is "partial 16S ribosomal RNA". It matches the Rfam family "Bacterial small subunit ribosomal RNA", at positions 524 to 776 of the family's 1533-position model. The record is from RNAcentral.